UGGAUGAUCUUCGUUGGUUUCGGGAUGUUGCAAGUAAUCAGUUGUGUGAUAGUGUCGGUUUCAACACUUGAGAAACCUUAGCUUCCGAAUUGGUUCCAUCUACCAGUUCAUCGGUGAACUGCAUAUUCAAUCUGAUAAUGAGAUAAUUCUGCAGGCACGUGUGGGUAGAAAUGUUGAUGGCAUUGACCUCAGCCUUUAUAAUCAAUCGCUACAACUAUUGCGUCAGUUUCAAGC
Jatropha curcas is the source of this 234-nucleotide long non-coding RNA. RefSeq lists it as uncharacterized. Lineage: Eukaryota; Viridiplantae; Streptophyta; Magnoliopsida; Malpighiales; Euphorbiaceae. The record is from RefSeq and is a predicted model, not a curated record.